RNAcentral lists this transfer RNA (73 nucleotides) under Cricetulus griseus (Chinese hamster). It matches the Rfam family "tRNA". From Rfam's summary of the family: Transfer RNA (tRNA) molecules are approximately 80 nucleotides in length. Their secondary structure includes four short double-helical elements and three loops (D, anti-codon, and T loops). Lineage: Eukaryota; Metazoa; Chordata; Mammalia; Rodentia; Cricetidae. The record is from Rfam by way of RNAcentral.
GGAGAUAUGGCUCAGUAGUUAAGAGCAUUGGUUACUUUUCCCAAGGACCUGGGUUUGAUUCCCAGUAUCCACA